RNAcentral lists this ribosomal RNA (440 nucleotides) under uncultured bacterium. RNAcentral describes it as "partial 16S ribosomal RNA". It matches the Rfam family "Bacterial small subunit ribosomal RNA", at positions 338 to 795 of the family's 1533-position model. The record is from RNAcentral.
CCUACGGGAGGCAGCAGUAGGGAAUAUUGCUCAAUGGAGGAAACCCUGAAGCAGCAACGCCGCGUGGAGGAUGAAGGUUUUCGGAUUGUAAACUCCUUUUGUUAGAGAAGAUAAUGACGGUAUCUAACGAAUAAGCACCGGCUAACUCCGUGCCAGCAGCCGCGGUAAUACGGAGGGUGCAAGCGUUACUCGGAAUCACUGGGCGUAAAGGGCGCGUAGGCGGGAUAGCAAGACAGAUGUGAAAUCCUAUGGCUUAACCAUAGAACUGCAUUUGAAACUGUUAUUCUAGAGUAUGGGAGAGGUAGGUGGAAUUCUUGGUGUAGGGGUAAAAUCCGUAGAGAUCAAGAGGAAUACUCAUUGCGAAGGCGACCUGCUAGAACAUAACUGACGCUGAUGCGCGAAAGCGUGGGGAGCAAACAGGAUUAGAUACCCGGGUAGUC